GUAGGGUGCGAGCGUUGUCCGGAUUUAUUGGGCGUAAAGGGCUGGUAGGUGGUUGAUCGCGUCGGAAGUGUAAUCUUGGGGCUUAACCCUGAGCGUGCUUUCGAUACGGGUUGACUUGAGGAAGGUAGGGGAGAAUGGAAUUCCUGGUGGAGCGGUGGAAUGCGCAGAUAUCAGGAGGAACACCAGUGGCGAAGGCGGUUCUCUGGGCCUUUCCUGACGCUGAGGAGCGAAAGCGUGGGGAGCGAACAGGCUUAGAUACCCUGGUAGUCCACGCUGUAAACGGUGGGUACUAGGUGUGGGGUCCAUUCCACGGGUUCCGUGCCGUAGCUAACGCUUUAAGUACCCCGCCUGGGGAGUACGGCCGCAAGGCUA
This 372-nucleotide ribosomal RNA is filed under the name uncultured bacterium. Its description in RNAcentral is "bacterial SSU rRNA". It matches the Rfam family "Bacterial small subunit ribosomal RNA", at positions 527 to 896 of the family's 1533-position model. The record is from RNAcentral.